RNAcentral lists this ribosomal RNA (253 nucleotides) under uncultured bacterium. RNAcentral's name for it is "partial 16S ribosomal RNA". It matches the Rfam family "Bacterial small subunit ribosomal RNA", at positions 524 to 776 of the family's 1533-position model. The record is from RNAcentral.
UACGUAGGGUGCGAGCGUUAAUCGGAAUUACUGGGCGUAAAGCGUGCGCAGGCGGUUUUGUAAGCCAGAUGUGAAAUCCCCGGGCGUAACCUGGGAAUGGCAUUUGGGACUGCAAGGCUCGAGUGCGGCAGAGGAGACUGGAAUUCCUGGUGUAGCAGUGAAAUGCGUAGAUAUCAGGAGGAACACCGAUGGCGAAGGCAGGUCUCUGGGCUGACACUGACGCUCAUGCACGAAAGCGUGGGGAGCAAACAGG